CUAGGUGAGGAGUAUGUCGCCUGCCUCCCUGACAACAGCUCAGGCACCGUGGCAGCAGUGUCCUUUUCAGCUGCCCACGAAGGCCUGCUUCAGCCAGAGGCCUGCAGCGCCUUCUGCUUCUCCACCGGCCAGGGCCUCGCAGCCCUCUCGGAGCAGGGCUGGUGCCUGUGUGGGGCGGCCCAGCCCUCUAGUGCCUCCUUCGCCUGCCUGUCCCUCUGCUCCGGCCCCCCGCCGCCUCCUGCCCCCACCUGUAGGGGCCCCACCCUCCUCCAGCACGUCUUCCCUGCCUCCCCAGGGGCCCCCCUGGUGGGGCCCCACGGACCCCUGGCCUCCGGCCAGCUAGCAGCCUUCCACAUCGCUGCCCCGCUCCCUGUCACUGCCACACGCUGGGACUUCGGAGACGGCUCCCCCGAGGUGGAUGCCGCUGGGCCGGCUGCCUCGCAUCGCUAUGUGCUGCCUGGGCGCUAUCACGUGACGGCCGUGCUGGCCCUGGGGGCCGGCUCAGCCCUGCUGGGGACAGACGUGCAGGUGGAAGCGGCACCUGCCGCCCUGGAGCUCGUGUGCCCGUCCUCGGUGCAGAGUGACGAGAGCCUCGACCUCAGCAUCCAGAACCGCGGUGGUUCAGGCCUGGAGGCUGCCUACAGCAUCGUGGCCCUGGGCGAGGAGCCGGCCCGAGCGGUGCACCCGCUCUGCCCCUCGGACACGGAGAUCUUCUCUGGCAACGGGCACUGCUACCGCCUGGUGGUGGAGAAGGCGGCCUGGCUGCAGGCGCAGGAGCAGUGUCGGGCCUGGGCCGGGGCCGCCCUGGCAAUGGUGGACAGUCCCGCCGUGCAGCGCUUCCUGGUCUCCCGGGUCACCAGGUGCCUGCCCCCACCCCCCGAGGGGCCAUAGG
Molecule: long non-coding RNA, 892 nt
Filed under: Homo sapiens (human)
Lineage: Eukaryota; Metazoa; Chordata; Mammalia; Primates; Hominidae
Description: non-protein coding lnc-RRN3-5:1
Source: RNAcentral